Molecule: ribosomal RNA, 807 nt
Filed under: uncultured bacterium
Lineage: Bacteria
Description: bacterial SSU rRNA
Rfam family: Bacterial small subunit ribosomal RNA
Source: RNAcentral
GCGGGCAGCUUAACAUGCAAGUCGAACGGCAGCAUGGAGGAGCUUGCUCCUCUGAUGGCGAGUGGCGAACGGGUGAGUAAAGCAUCGGAACGUACCGUGUAGUGGGGGAUAACGUAGCGAAAGUUACGCUAAUACCGCAUACGCACUGAGGUGGAAAGCGGGGGAUCGUAAGACCUCGCGCUAUACGAGCGGCCGAUGUCAGAUUAGCUAGUUGGUAGGGUAAAGGCCUACCAAGGCGACGAUCUGUAGCGGGUCUGAGAGGAUGAUCCGCCACACUGGGACUGAGACACGGCCCAGACUCCUACGGGAGGCAGCAGUGGGGAAUUUUGGACAAUGGGGGCAACCCUGAUCCAGCCAUGCCGCGUGAGUGAAGAAGGCCUUCGGGUUGUAAAGCUCUUUCGGCUGGGAAGAAAUCGCACAGGCCAAUACCCUGUGUGGAUGACGGUACCAGCAUAAGAAGCACCGGCUAACUACGUGCCAGCAGCCGCGGUAAUACGUAGGGUGCGAGCGUUAAUCGGAAUUACUGGGCGUAAAGCGUGCGCAGGCGGUUAGAUAAGUUUGAUGUGAAAUCCCCGGGCUCAACCUGGGAACUGCAUUGAAGACUGUCUGACUAGAGUACGGCAGAGGGGGGUGGAAUUCCACGUGUAGCAGUGAAAUGCGUAGAGAUGUGGAGGAACACCGAUGGCGAAGGCAGCCCCCUGGGUCGAUACUGACGCUCAUGCACGAAAGCGUGGGGAGCAAACAGGAUUAGAUACCCCUGGUAGCCCACGCCCCUAAACGAUGUCAACUAGUUGUUGGUAGGGGUUA